AGAGUUUGAUCCUGGCUCAGAUUGAACGCUGGCGGUAUGCUUAACACAUGCAAGUCGAACGGAAACGAUACUAGCUUGCUAGUAGGCGUCGAGUGGCGGACGGGUGAGUAACGCGUAGGAAUCUGCCUGAUAGUGGGGGAUAGCCCGAAGAAAUUCGGAUUAAUACCGCAUAAUCUAUUCGUAGUAAAGUGGGGGACUUUCGAGCCUCACGCUAUCAGAUGAGCCUGCGUAAGAUUAGCUAGUUGGUAGGGUAAAAGCCUACCAAGGCUACGAUCUUUAGCUGGUCUGAGAGGAUGAUCAGCCACAUCGGGACUGAGACACGGCCCGAACUCCUACGGGAGGCAGCAGUGGGGAAUAUUGGACAAUGGGGGCAACCCUGAUCCAGCAAUACCGCGUGUGUGAAGAAGGCCUGAGGGUUGUAAAGCACUUUCAAUUGUGAAGAAAAGUUAACGGUUAAUAACCGUUAGCCUUGACGUUAACUUUAGAAGAAGCACCGGCUAACUCCGUGCCAGCAGCCGCGGUAAUACGGAGGGUGCAAGCGUUAAUCGGAAUUACUGGGCGUAAAGCGUGCGUAGGCGGUUUAUUAAGUCAGAUGUGAAAGCCCCGGGCUUAACCUGGGAACUGCAUUUGAAACUGGUCAACUAGAGUAUGGUAGAGGAAAGUGGAAUUUCUGGUGUAGCGGUGAAAUGCGUAGAUAUCAGAAGGAACAUCAAUGGCGAAGGCAGCUUUCUGGACCAAUACUGACGCUGAGGUACGAAAGCGUGGGUAGCAAACAGGAUUAGAUACCCUGGUAGUCCACGCCGUAAACGAUGAUAACUAGCCGUUGGGGGGAUUUACCCCUUAGUGGCGAAGCUAACGCGUUAAGUUAUCCGCCUGGGGAGUACGGCCGCAAGGCUAAAACUCAAAGGAAUUGACGGGGACCCGCACAAGCGGUGGAGCAUGUGGUUUAAUUCGAUGCAACGCGAAGAACCUUACCUGGUCUUGACAUCCUGCGAACUUUCUAGAAAUAGAUUGGUGCCUUCGGGAACGCAGUGACAGGUGCUGCAUGGCUGUCGUCAGCUCGUGUCGUGAGAUGUUGGGUUAAGUCCCGUAACGAGCGCAACCCCUAUCCUUAUUUGCCAGCACAUUAUGGUGGGAACUAUAAGGAGACUGCCGGUGAUAAACCGGAGGAAGGCGGGGACGACGUCAAGUCAUCAUGGCCCUUACGACCAGGGCUACACACGUGCUACAAUGGGAAGGACAAAGAGCCGCGAAGCCGCGAGGUGUAGCUAAUCUCAUAAAUCUUUUCGUAGUCCGGAUUGGAGUCUGCAACUCGACUCCAUGAAGUCGGAAUCGCUAGUAAUCGUAGAUCAGAAUGCUACGGUGAAUACGUUCCCGGGUCUUGUACACACCGCCCGUCAUACCAUGGGAGUGGGUUGCACCAGAAGUGGCUAGUCUAACUUUGUGAGGACGGUCACCACGGUGUGAUUCAUGACUGGGGUAAAGUCGUAACAAGGUAACC
This 1501-nucleotide ribosomal RNA is filed under the name uncultured bacterium. RNAcentral's name for it is "bacterial SSU rRNA". It matches the Rfam family "Bacterial small subunit ribosomal RNA". The record is from RNAcentral.